GACGAACGCUGGCGGCGUGCCUAAUACAUGCAAGUCGAGCGGACUGAUUAAGAGCUUGCUCUUAUGACGUUAGCGGCGGACGGGUGAGUAACACGUGGGCAACCUGCCCUGUAGAUCGGGAUAACACCGAGAAAUCGGUGCUAAUACCGGGUAAUAUCUGAGAUCACAUGAUCUUAGGUUAAAAGAUGGCUCCGGCUAUCACUACAGGAUGGGCCCGCGGCGCAUUAGCUAGUUGGUAAGGUAAUGGCUUACCAAGGCGACGAUGCGUAGCCGACCUGAGAGGGUGAUCGGCCACACUGGGACUGAGACACGGCCCAGACGCCUACGGGAGGCAGCAGUAGGGAAUCUUCCGCAAUGGACGAAAGUCUGACGGAGCAACGCCGCGUGAGUGAUGAAGGGUUUCGGCUCGUAAAGCUCUGUUGUUAGGGAAGAAACAGUACCGAACGAACUAGGUCGGUACCUUGACGGUACCUAACCAGAAAGCCACGGCUAACUACGUG
Molecule: ribosomal RNA, 500 nt
Filed under: uncultured bacterium
Lineage: Bacteria
Description: partial 16S ribosomal RNA
Rfam family: Bacterial small subunit ribosomal RNA
Source: RNAcentral